GAUGAAGAACGCAGUGAAAUGCGAUAAGUAAUGUGAAUUGCAGAAUUCAGUGAAUCAUCGAAUCUUUGAACGCACAUUGCGCCCGCUAGUAUUCUGGCGGGCAUGCCUGUCCGAGCGUCAUUUCAACCCACAAGCCCCCGGGCUUGGUGUUGGGGAUCGGCGAGCCUCCGCGCCCGCCGUCCCCUAAAUCUAGUGGCGGUCUCGCUGUAGCUUCCUCUGCGUAGUAGCACACCUCGCACUGGGAAACAGCGCGGCCACGCCGUUAAACCCCCAACUUCUGAACGUUUGACCUCGGAUCAGGUAGGAAUACCCGCUGAACUUAAGCAUAUCAAUAAGCGGAGGA
RNAcentral lists this unclassified non-coding RNA (343 nucleotides) under soil metagenome. RNAcentral describes it as "partial contains 5.8S ribosomal RNA, internal transcribed spacer 2, and large subunit ribosomal RNA". The stretch from base 1 to 120 matches the Rfam family "5.8S ribosomal RNA", at positions 35 to 154 of the family's 154-position model. The record is from RNAcentral.